This 490-nucleotide ribosomal RNA is filed under the name uncultured bacterium. RNAcentral's name for it is "partial 16S ribosomal RNA". It matches the Rfam family "Bacterial small subunit ribosomal RNA", at positions 30 to 507 of the family's 1533-position model. The record is from RNAcentral.
AUUGAACGCUGGCGGCAGGCCUAACACAUGCAAGUCGAACGGUAACAGGAAACAGCUUCCUGUUUCGCUGACGAGUGGCGGACGGGUGUGUAAUGCCUGGGAAACUGCCUGAUGGAGGGGGAUAACUACUGGAAACGGUCGCUAUUACCGCAUAAUGUCGCAAGACCAAAGAGGGGGACCUUCGGGCCUCUUGCCAUCGGAUGUGCCUAGAUUGGGUUAGGUAGUAGGUGGGGUAAAGGCUCACCUAGGAGACGUACCGUAGCUGGUCUGAGAGGAUGACCAGCCACACUGGAACUGAGACACGGUCCAGACUCCUACGGGAGGCAGCAGUGGGGAAUAUUGCACAAUGGGCGCAAGCAUGAUGCAGCCAUGCCGCGUGUAUGAAGAAGGCUUUCGGGUUGUAAAGUACUUUCAGCGGGGAGGAAGGGAGUAAAGUUAAUACCUUUACUCAUUGACGUUACCCGCAGAAGAAGCACCGGAUAACUCCGUG